ACGGGUGAGUAAUGUCUGGGAAACUGCCUGAUGGAGGGGGAUAACUACUGGAAACGGUAGCUAAUACCGCAUAACGUCGCAAGACCAAAGAGGGGGACCUUCGGGCCUCUUGCCAUCAGAUGUGCCCAGAUGGGAUUAGCUAGUAGGCGGGGUAACGGCCCACCCAGGCGACGAUCCCUAGCUGGUCUGAGAGGAUGACCAGCCACACUGGAACUGAGACACGGUCCAGACUCCUACGGGAGGCAGCAGUGGGGAAUAUUGCACAAUGGGCGCAAGCCUGAUGCAGCCAUGCCGCGUGUGUGAAGAAGGCCUUCGGGUUGUAAAGCACUUUCAGCGGGGAGGAAGGCAGUACGGUUAAUGACCGUGCUGAUUGACGUUACCCGCAGAAGAAGCACCGGCUAACUCCGUGCCAGCAGCCGCGGUAAUACGGAGGGUGCAAGCGUUAAUCGGAAUUACUGGGCGUAAAGCGCACGCAGGCGGUCUGUCAAGUCGGAUGUGAAAUCCCCGGGCUCAACCUGGGAACUGCAUUCGAAACUGGCAGGCUGGAGUCUCGUAGAGGGAGGUAGAAUUCCAGGUGUAGC
Molecule: ribosomal RNA, 581 nt
Filed under: uncultured bacterium
Lineage: Bacteria
Description: bacterial SSU rRNA
Rfam family: Bacterial small subunit ribosomal RNA
Source: RNAcentral